UACGUAGGGGGCAAGCGUUGUCCGGAAUCAUUGGGCGUAGAGAGCGUGUAGGCGGCUCGGUAAGUCCGCUGUGAAAGUCCAGGGCUCAACCCUGGAAUGCCGGUGGAAACUGUCGAGCUCGAGUCCGGAAGAGGCGAGUGGAAUUCCUGGUGUAGCGGUGAAAUGCGCAGAUAUCAGGAGGAACACCAAUGGCGAAGGCAGCUCGCUGGGACGGUACUGACACUGAGAAGCGAAAGCAUGGGGAGCGAACAGG
Molecule: ribosomal RNA, 253 nt
Filed under: uncultured bacterium
Lineage: Bacteria
Description: partial 16S ribosomal RNA
Rfam family: Bacterial small subunit ribosomal RNA
Source: RNAcentral